AGUGAACGCUGGCGGUAGGCCUAACACGUGCCAGUCGAACGGCAGCACAGUAAGAGCUUGCUCUUACGGGUGGCGAGUGGCGGACGGGUGAGGAAUACAUCGGAAUCUACUUUUUCGUGGGGGAUAACGUAGGGAAACUUACGCUAAUACCGCAUACGACCUACGGGUGAAAGCAGGGGAUCUUCGGACCUUGCGCGAUUGAAUGAGCCGAUGUCGGAUUAGCUAGUUGGCGGGGUAAGGCCCACCAAGGCGACGAUCCGUAGCUGGUCUGAGAGGAUGAUCAGCCACACUGGAACUGAGACACGGUCCAGACUCCUACGGGAGGCAGCAGUGGGGAAUAUUGGACAAUGGGCGCAAGCCUGAUCCAGCCAUACCGCGUGGGUGAAGAAGGCCUUCGGGUUGUAAAGCCCUUUUGUUGGGAAAGAAAAGCAGCAGGUUAAUACCCCGCUGUUCUGACGGUACCCAAAGAAUAAGCACCGGCUAACUUCGUG
RNAcentral lists this ribosomal RNA (491 nucleotides) under uncultured bacterium. Its description in RNAcentral is "partial 16S ribosomal RNA". It matches the Rfam family "Bacterial small subunit ribosomal RNA", at positions 29 to 507 of the family's 1533-position model. The record is from RNAcentral.